RNAcentral lists this ribosomal RNA (461 nucleotides) under uncultured bacterium. RNAcentral describes it as "bacterial SSU rRNA". It matches the Rfam family "Bacterial small subunit ribosomal RNA", at positions 336 to 795 of the family's 1533-position model. The record is from RNAcentral.
UUCCUACGGGCGGCUGCAGUAGGGAAUUUUCGGCAAUGGGGGGAACCCUGACCGAGCAACGCCGCGUGAGUGAUGAAAGUCUUCGGAUUGUAAAGCUCUGUUAUAAGGGAAGAACGUCCCCGAUAGAAUCGGGGAGUGACGGUACCUUAUCAGAAAGCUACGGCUAACUACGUGCCAGCAGCCGCGGUAAUACGUAGGUAGCGAGCGUUAUCCGGAAUUAUUGGGCGUAAAGGGUGCGUAGGCGGCUUGUUAAGUUUAAGGUGAAAGCGUGGGGCUCAACCCCAUAAAGCCUUAGAUACUGACAAGCUAGAGUACUGGAGAGGGUAGUGGAAUUCCAUGUGUAGCGGUAAAAUGCGUAGAUAUAUGGAGGAACACCGGUGGCGAAGGCGGCUACCUAGACAGAGACUGACGCUGAUGCACGAAAGCGUGGGGAGCAAAUAGGAUUAGAUACCCCUGUAGUC